CCACUUACCCGGCAGGGGAGAAUCGGUGGUCACGAUGGCCGCUCUCCCAGGACGUGUCCAUCCCAUUGCACUUUGGGUGUGCUGACGCCUGGGAUGUCCCCAAAUGCGGGAUUCUCUACUGCAAGAUUUGGUGGCGCAGCGGUGGAGUUGCUGCCUUACCGCAC
This is a small nuclear RNA of Amblyraja radiata (thorny skate), 164 nucleotides long. RefSeq annotates it as U1 spliceosomal RNA. Lineage: Eukaryota; Metazoa; Chordata; Chondrichthyes; Rajiformes; Rajidae. The transcript has a single exon. The record is from RefSeq and is a predicted model, not a curated record.